AUUGAACGCUGGCGGCAUGCCUUACACAUGCAAGUCGAACGGUAACAGGUCUUCGGAUGCUGACGAGUGGCGAACGGGUGAGUAAUACAUCGGAACGUGCCUAGUAGUGGGGGAUAACUACUCGAAAGAGUGGCUAAUACCGCAUGAGAUCUACGGAUGAAAGCAGGGGAUCGCAAGACCUUGUGCUACUAGAGCGGCCGAUGGCAGAUUAGGUAGUUGGUGGGAUAAAAGCUUACCAAGCCGACGAUCUGUAGUUGGUCUGAGAGGACGAUCAGCCACACUGGGACUGAGACACGGCCCAGACUCCUACGGGAGGCAGCAGUGGGGAAUUUUGGACAAUGGGCGAAAGCCUGAUCCAGCAAUGCCGGGUGCAGGAUGAAGGCCUUCGGGUUGUAAACUGCUUUUGUACGGAACGAAAAGCCCCGGGUUAAUACCCUGGGGUCAUGACGGUACCGUAAGAAUAAGCACCGGCUAACUACGUGCCAGCAGCCGCCGUAA
Molecule: ribosomal RNA, 498 nt
Filed under: uncultured bacterium
Lineage: Bacteria
Description: partial 16S ribosomal RNA
Rfam family: Bacterial small subunit ribosomal RNA
Source: RNAcentral